UGGUUCUAAGCCAUUUUUGCAGAGAAG
This 27-nucleotide non-coding RNA is filed under the name Rattus norvegicus (Norway rat). The record is from RNAcentral. Lineage: Eukaryota; Metazoa; Chordata; Mammalia; Rodentia; Muridae.